RNAcentral lists this ribosomal RNA (530 nucleotides) under ascomycete from Cephaloziella exiliflora rhizoid. RNAcentral's name for it is "SSU rRNA". It matches the Rfam family "Eukaryotic small subunit ribosomal RNA", at positions 220 to 755 of the family's 1831-position model. Lineage: Eukaryota; Fungi; Ascomycota. The record is from RNAcentral.
AACCAUGCCCUUCGGGGCUCCUUGGUGAUUCAUAAUAACUUAACGAAUCGCAUGGCCUUGUGCCGGCGAUGGUUCAUUCAAAUUUCUGCCCUAUCAACUUUCGAUGGUAUGGUCUUGGCUUACCAUGGUUUCAACGGGUAACGGGGAAUUAGGGUUCUAUUCCGGAGAGGGAGCCUGAGAAACGGCUACCACAUCCAAGGAAGGCAGCAGGCGCGCAAAUUACCCAAUCCCGACACGGGGAGGUAGUGACAAUAAAUACUGAUACAGGGCCCUUUUGGGUCUUGUAAUUGGAAUGAGUACAAUUUAAAUCCCUUAACGAGGAACAAUUGGAGGGCAAGUCUGGUGCCAGCAGCCGNGGUAAUUCCAGCUCCAAUAGCGUAUAUUAAAGUUGUUGCAGUUAAAAAGCUCGUAGUUGAACCUUGGGCCUGGCUGGCCGGUCCGCCUCACCGCGUGCACUGGUCCGGUUGGGCCUUUCCUUNUGGGGAGCCGCAUGCCCUUCACUGGGUGUGUCGGGGAACCAGGACUUUUAC